GUAGCUCAGUGGUAGAGCGCUCACUUUGCAUGUCAGAAGCCCUGGGUUCGAAACCUAGC
RNAcentral lists this transfer RNA (59 nucleotides) under Trichobilharzia regenti. It matches the Rfam family "tRNA", at positions 7 to 64 of the family's 71-position model. From Rfam's summary of the family: Transfer RNA (tRNA) molecules are approximately 80 nucleotides in length. The record is from Rfam by way of RNAcentral. Lineage: Eukaryota; Metazoa; Platyhelminthes; Trematoda; Strigeidida; Schistosomatidae.